RNAcentral lists this ribosomal RNA (253 nucleotides) under uncultured bacterium. RNAcentral describes it as "partial 16S ribosomal RNA". It matches the Rfam family "Bacterial small subunit ribosomal RNA", at positions 524 to 776 of the family's 1533-position model. The record is from RNAcentral.
UACGUAGGGUGCGAGCGUUAAUCGGAAUUACUGGGCGUAAAGCGUGCGCAGGCGGUUCGUUGUGUCGGUGGUGAAAUCCCCGGGCUUAACCUGGGAACUGCAUUUGUGACUGCAUGGCUGGAGUGCGGCAGAGGGGGAUGGAAUUCCGCGUGUAGCAGUGAAAUGCGUAGAUAUGCGGAGGAACACCGAUGGCGAAGGCAAUCCCCUGGGCCUGCACUGACGCUCAUGCACGAAAGCGUGGGGAGCAAACAGG